GCAAGUCGAACGGUAACAUGAAAGCUUGCUUUUGAUGACGAGUGGCGCACGGGUGCGUAACGCGUAUGCAAUCUACCCUUUACUGGAGAAUAGCCCUUGGAAACGAGGAAUAAUACUCCAUAGUAUAACAAUUUCGCAUGUUAUUGUUAUUAAAGCUUCGGCGGUAGAGGAUGAGCAUGCGUCCCAUUAGUUAGUUGGUAAGGUAACGGCUUACCAAGACUAUGAUAGGUAGGGGUUCUGAGAGGACAAUC
Molecule: ribosomal RNA, 251 nt
Filed under: uncultured bacterium
Lineage: Bacteria
Description: partial 16S ribosomal RNA
Rfam family: Bacterial small subunit ribosomal RNA
Source: RNAcentral